Molecule: ribosomal RNA, 255 nt
Filed under: uncultured bacterium
Lineage: Bacteria
Description: partial 16S ribosomal RNA
Rfam family: Bacterial small subunit ribosomal RNA
Source: RNAcentral
UACGGGGGGGGGCAAGCGUUGUUCGGAAUUACUGGGCGUAAAGGGCUCGUAGGCGGCCAACUAAGUCAAACGUGAAAUCCCUCAGCUUAACUGGGGAACUGCGUCUGAUACUGGAUGGCUUGGAUUCGGGAGAGGAAUGCGGAAUUCCAGGUGUAGCGGUGAAAUGCGUAGAUAUCUGGAGGAACACCGGUGGCGAAGGCGGCAUUCUGGACCGAUAUUGACGCUGAGGAGCGAAAGCCAGGGGAGCAAACGGGG